UUGAAAUGUCUACUUUGAUCAUAUUACAGAAACAAGUGAGACUAAGGGCUAUGACCUGAACAUUAAUUAGUGUAUUAUAAAGGAUGAGUAGUUUUCCAAUGUAAAAUAUACCAAUGCAGUAAAUAAAAGGUAAUUAAUUCUGGGUGACAGCAUUUUGCAGCGAUUCACGGAGAGGAGAUGCAGCCUAUGUGAAUGUAAUGUAUGGUUAUGCAGUGCUACUCCCUGUCAGAGUAAGGGGAGCAUUAUUCUGCAGUACGCUAACUAUUCUGCUCCUUUUAAUUACCUAUUAAAACUACACCUUUUAAUAUUUCAAUGCAAAUGGACAUGCAGAACUGUGGUAAUUAGCAGCAUGUUGAUGUAGGAUUCAGAUGGUGCAGCCUGGUCACAAACAAUGCUGUGUAAUCAGCUGCAGGAAAUGUUUUUCUCUUAUGAUAGUGUGUAAUGGCUUAAACUGUAAGGAAGGGCAAAACAUUGAGGCUUUAGGAAUGAGAAGUUUGCAUGCAGAUUGUGCGUCAUCUGCUGCAGCUAUCAGCUAAUUGUCCUUCAGCUGUUACACACCUGGAGAAACAAAUACCAUGAGACUAUGAAAACUGUAGGAGGUGGCAUGCGAGACCAUAGAGACACUCCUUUAGUUACUUCUGGAACAUGGCUUUGAAAAACAUAGGUGUGCUACCUUCUGCAUUUUCUGCAGCCAUUACACUCUGAUAUUCUCAGCUCUGUGGCCUCUUGCAAAAAGUCCAGGCUCUUCCAACAUGAUUGGUUUUAGUUCAGAGGAAGCCAGACACUGUUCUUUUGAUGUAAUUUACCAUGAAAUUGAGAAUUCCUCCUGGUUUUUGUUAUGUUUGAGAGAACUUUACCUAAGUUCAGCUUUGGAAUUAUGUCCUAUCAAUGUCAACUGUGGUUUACAAGUAAGCUCUAGUGUUUGUAUCAGUAAUAUUUUUUGAAAACAGACAUCCUGAAAAUAGCUGUAAAUAUAUUCCUCAUUCAGGUGUGGAUGUUGGUAGGAACUGAAAAUCUACCAUUCUUGCAAAGGCAAUUGUUAAAACCAGCUUUACUUCACACGUAAACUUGACUGAAUGGUGUGGAUGAACCUUUAUGUGCUCAUGUCUCUUCAGUGUCUCUGAAUUAAAAUAUCACUGUAUGUAACUGUGACAGCCAGGGAGACCUUUCUUGAUGUAAACAACUGAGGUGAAGGAAUCCUGUAAGCAGGAUUCCAUGGUAUAGUUUGUAUAUAAGGCCCUUGUUUUCCUUUUACUUAAGAGGCAAUAACUUUAAAUUGACCUGUUUUUGAAGUACAGUGUAACUGCAGGUUUGAAGUAAUGCAGUUAGUGUAUGUGAUGUGAGCAUCUGACCUGGAAUGUGGGCUAUUGGAGAACAAAUAACGUUUGCUGUAUGUCUGAUCUGUGUUGAGUAUUUCUAUAGAGCCGAGAAAAGGGUUAGGGAGGCUGAUGAGCCUGAAUGUACAGAUGUAGCUUUUGCUCCCCAAAUACAUUACUCUUGCUUACUUACAGAGAGUCAUUCAAGUUACCUUUUUUGUGUGCGCUCUCAACUUGAAGCAAGAAUGUAGCUGAAGAAAAGGAGAAUCCCAGAACUUCUUACAGAAAAAUGAGAGAAACCAACUUGUCUGCUUCAACACUGUCAUGAUUAACUGUUUUUUCCAAGCCAAAUGCUCAAAAAUUGUGACUGUUAGAGAAAAGAUCUGGUUAAGAAUAAAACUUGGAUUUUGAAGUGUUUGAGCAACUUGCUACUGCCCAAGUCAUGACACUCCCAUUUCGAAAGGACUUGGACAAGUACAAAGAUCUUGAUGAGGAUGAAAUUCUUGGCAAACUUUCAGAAGAAGAACUGAAACAACUGGAAACUGUUUUGGAUGAUCUUGACCCUGAGAACGCACUUCUCCCUGCAGGCUUCCGACAGAAAGACCAGACUGCUAAAAAGGCUUCAGGUCCCUUUGACAGGGAACGACUCCUGGCAUAUUUAGAGAAGCAGGCUCUUGAGCACAAAGACAGGGAAGACUAUGUGCCUUUUACAAGAGAAAAGAAAGGGAAAAUAUUUAUCCCCAAGCAAAAGCCUGUACAGUCUUACACAGAAGAAAAAUUCUCUCUUGAUCCAGAACUGGAGGAAGCCUUGACCAGUGCCACAGACACAGAAUUAGGUGACCUUGCAGCUAUACUGGGAAUGUCCAACUUGAUAACAAACAAUCAGUUCUGUGAUGUAGUAGGAAGCAGUAAUGGGGUUGACAAAGACAGCUUCUCAAAUAUAGUAAAAGGUGAAAAAAUGUUGCCUGUUUUUGACGAACCGCCAAAUCCCACAAAUGUGGAGGAGACACUGCAAAGGAUUAAAGAGAACGAUUCUCGUCUUGUUGAAGUUAAUCUAAAUAACAUUAAGAACAUACCAAUUCCAACGCUGAAAGAAUUUGCAAAAGCCUUAGAAACCAACACGCAUGUGAAGAAUUUUAGCCUUGCAGCCACCCGAAGCAAUGAUCCUGUUGCUGUUGCUCUUGCGGAUAUGCUGAGAGUAAACACAAAAUUGAAAAGUUUAAACAUAGAAUCAAACUUCAUCACUGGAGUUGGAAUUUUGGCACUGGUUGAUGCACUGAAAGACAAUGAAACAUUGACAGAGAUCAAAAUUGAUAAUCAGAGGCAGCAGCUGGGCACAGUUGCAGAAGUAGAAAUUGCCAAGAUGCUUGAAGAAAACACCAAGAUCCUCAAAUUUGGAUACCAUUUCACACAACAGGGACCUCGAGCCAGGGCAGCUGCAGCUAUCACAAAAAAUAAUGAUUUGGUCUGGAGUAUGCGAGUAAAAGUUUCUGCAAAUACCUUUUCAUCUCUCGAGCCCUGAAGCUACAGAGACAGGUUACUCUGAAUACCCAGUUGGGUAUUGAGCACUGAAAACUGAGAUGUUCAAAGUCUCUCACUUCUGUCUUUUUCGCAAGAGAAGGGUUGAAGGAGACAACUAGCAGAUCUUAUUGUCAAAACUACGUGGAGAUUUCAAGGGUUGUCAAGGCACGCUCAUCACCGUGGGCUUUGGCAAUCUUGGACUACAUUUACCUGGGUUAGAAGGGAAAAGACUGGAAACCCCAUUCCUUUUAAAGCAAAGCUAUAUUAGUAAUCUUUUGGUAUGCAUCACGUUUUUCAGAUUGAGACACAGUAACUGUACCAGUCUCUGUACCAUAGGUUUUGAUUGUUUUUUUUAAGAACUUUUUUGUAUUCAAGACUUUGGCUGUACUUUCUACUAAAAAUGUAAUUGCAAAUCAAUGGUAUAAUUGUCUGUAGUCAAAGAAUGGGACAUUCAAGAUCAUUGGGCAGAUAAUGACCCAACUGAAAUGUUUGUUACAAAAUCUGGGGGUGCUUAUUUACAUGGAGGGGUGUGUAUAUUCUUAAAAACAAUGUAUUAGUGAAAAGGGAUUCUUCACACAACAGUUGGACUCAUUGUGUAGAGCUGUUCAGCCUUGUUCAUAUGCACUGAAGAGAAAUCUUUCACAGCUAUCUUAUUUGUAAGUCUACUUUUUUAUUUUUUAGUAGAUCUUGAUACUGUGAUUAAGUUUAAAGACAUCCCUUUAAACCAAACAAAAAUAAAUUGGCUAAGGACUUCUCCCAAGAGAUUUGAGGGACUAAUAAAGAAGUGGAAGCCUUGGGGGGGGGGGGGGGCGGGGAAGUAGGAGCCUUGCAAAAUGAGAGUUGUUCUAUUACACCUAAACUCUUAAAGUCUUUUUCAAAAGGUUCCAUAACUGUAUCUUGCUCUGUAUCUAAACUGGAUAUCUUUUUAGACUGAUUUCAUGUGUUCAUCACCAUUAUUUAGCUUAUAUUCUUUGCUUAAAAAUCCUUAUCUACAUUCAUAAGUAUCAAUUUUGCUAGAAGUAGUGGACAUGCAUUUUUUAAGUUCUGCAUAAUUCUGUACAGGAAAAGCAGCCUUAACUGUAAAACCACUGUCCUAAGUUGCUGGCAAAUGGAAAAAUCCUUUUUUAGAAGCUGUUGCAUUAAGCUAUUAGUACUUCAUGUAAAUCUUCUUUUUUUUUUUUUUAAUAAAGCAAUGAAUUAACACUUUUAAGAAAGGAUUUUUGUAUUCUACUUAUGUCUUGAUGUUGAAACACUACAUAAGACAUGCAGAAAUUAACCAGUAUGCAGUGUCAAAUCUGUAUGGUGGAGUAAUUAUUAAAGUAUUUAAAGUUCUAUAUCUAAGCAAACUAAUAAGACAAGAAUCACUUCAACUUCUGUACAUAAUCACAGUAGACUUCUUUGAAAUAAUAUGAAAAUCUAGAGGCUUUUAGGUGUAGGUCUGUUUGGACUGUACUGUACUAGUUUGCUCAAUGUCAUGAGAUCAUAAACUCACAAAAAUGUUCUAAAGGACUGCUCAGCUAUAUUUAUAGCAACAGAGAAUUCAACUGACAGCUCUUUUCAUCAAAGGAUCAUAAUAUGGUGAGCAUUUUAUGUAUAGAAAACAUAUUGGACUGAGAUUUUUGCAUCAGGUUGUAUAUACUAGAAAAAUUUAACAGAGCAACUCCCUGACACUGUGCCCAUGUUGUAAACUGCUGCAAAUCUUGUUUUGGAGCUUUAAAGACAGACUUUUAUUCUGGAGGUGACUUCAAAUUUUACUGCAACUGUACAGAGAAUUUUAAACUAGAGUGCCUUCAGUGAGGAUGUAUAUAACUGGUUCAUACUUGUGGAAGAACAUUUUUUUUCCAAUUUCAAAAUUGGCCUUUUCUUAUAAUUACAAAUAAAUGUGUGCUCUGAAAAGCAAGUCGGAAUUAAUUGUUAAAACUAAAGACUAUACAUACUCUAACUUUCAAACAACUAGAAGUGAACCGACUAGUAACAAAAAGGGCUGCUUUGGUUUUGGCUUUUGUAAAUUUCCAAGAACUUUUAAGAUUUUGAAAUUUAAGUUCUUAUAUAGUAUGCAUAAAUUCACAAGUUAAGUGUCUUUUUACAGACAGUGCUGUAUAAACAUGGCCAAAGCAUGUCAUGUGCUGAGUUGCCUAAAGCUGUACUUUUUAUUUACUAGGCACCAUAAUAAUUUUGUGUCAAAAAAACAGGCUGUAAUGUCUUCCUUCAUUUGUUGAAGGGCUGCAUGUUCAUGGAAUCUGUUUGCGUAUUGAUUCUAUGAUGAUUCAUUUUAUCAUUAUCUAAAAAGAUUAGGCAAUUAUCUCCUACUUGAAGAUGGAGCAGAAAAAUGAAAGGCUGGAUUAUGGAAAUGAUAGCCCCCUAUCCUUUCCUUUACUAAAUCAAGUUUAGCUGCUUAAUGAUUUAUAUUCCAAUCAAAGGCAGGGGCUUUAAAGCUGCAACUCUCAGGUGUCCUGUCACAGAUGAUAGUAGUGGACCUUAAUAAUUGGUUUAGCUCUGUAGACAACAGCUAAGUAUUUGACUGCUUGUUGGCACUUUCAGGACAGGUAUCUGACAGGCUGGGCAUAGAAAACUAGUUGGUUUGGGUUUGGUGUUUUGGUUUUGGUUUUGUUUUUUCAGCCAGAAAGGUUUGGCCCUCCAAGUGUUGCAAGACAUUUGGUACCAUGCAUGGAACAGUAUCAAAAAUCACUUUUGUGCCUACACCGUGUAUCCUUUUUGGAAUAAAUGAAGGAAUUUAGUCUGUAGCCGGGAAUCAUAAACAGUCUCAACAAGCAAAGUGAAUACUCUGAUGUAAUGCUAUCGAGUGGAGUGAGAUCUUGUGUAUGACUUAUUGAGUGCAAAAGUGGUAUUGCUUUGAUAACUGGCUACCAUAAACGUAAGGUCUUUUUUCCAAAAGAGGCGAUACUUUUUUCUUCUUGAUUAUUUUUCAGGCUUAACGCAGAAGUCAAAUGACCACAUACGUUGACUCUGUUGGUUCCAAGCUAAGCAUGGAAACUAGUUUAUAUUCCAAAGCAAUUAUCUAUUUACUGUUGUAUUUUAAGGAAAUAGCCUCAUUUUCUCUACAGGUUGAGUAAUACUGUUUGUAAGCUACAAACGAGCAAGUGUUCAAUUUAAAUUUCCGUUGAGGAAACGUGAAUUGAGUGUUUUAGCGUAUCAGCACUAUAUGCUGUCAGAUUGUAAACCAGUAAAAGUUUUGGAUGAUUAAA
RNA transcript from Harpia harpyja (harpy eagle), 6043 nucleotides. It is a transcript of the gene named tropomodulin-3, with no coding region annotated. The transcript is spliced from 11 exons. Lineage: Eukaryota; Metazoa; Chordata; Aves; Accipitriformes; Accipitridae. The record is from RefSeq and is a predicted model, not a curated record.